CCUACGGGUGGCAGCAGUGGGGAAUAUUGCACAAUGGGGGAAACCCUGAUGCAGCGACGCCGCGUGAGUGAAGAAGUAUUUCGGUAUGUAAAGCUCUAUCAGCAGGGAAGAAGCAAGACGGUACCUGACUAAGAAGCACCGGCUAACUACGUGCCAGCAGCCGCGGUAAUACGUAGGGGGCAAGCGUUAUCCGGAUUUACUGGGUGUAAAGGGAGCGUAGACGGUAUGGCAAGUCUGAAGUGAAAGCCCAGGGCUUAACCCUGGGACUGCUUUGGAAACUGGGUGUCUUGAGUGAUGGAGAGGCAGGCGGAAUUCCCAGUGUAGCGGUGAAAUGCGUAGAUAUUGGGAGGAACACCAGUGGCGAAGGCGGCCUGCUGGACAUUAACUGACGCUGAGGCGCGAAAGCGUGGGGAGCAAACAGGAUUAGAUACCCUUGUAGUC
This 441-nucleotide ribosomal RNA is filed under the name uncultured bacterium. RNAcentral's name for it is "partial 16S ribosomal RNA". It matches the Rfam family "Bacterial small subunit ribosomal RNA", at positions 338 to 795 of the family's 1533-position model. The record is from RNAcentral.